Long non-coding RNA from Numida meleagris (helmeted guineafowl), 487 nucleotides. RefSeq lists it as uncharacterized. The transcript is spliced from 3 exons. NCBI's taxonomy places the organism in Eukaryota, Metazoa, Chordata, Aves, Galliformes, Numididae. The record is from RefSeq and is a predicted model, not a curated record.
UGUCCUCAGAACUACGGCAUUCGUGCAUCAUAUUAGCCAUAAAUUACACAAAGCAGCUUGCCAAGAACUUCUGACUGCACUUCUCUUGGGUCUCUGUAUUACAAUUGCACCUUGCAACCUGUAUUGCCAUACACUAUUCUACAUUCCUGUUUUUCAGCCUUUCUGUUGCCUGCAUCCUCUUCAGCUGAAAUCCUGGGUUCUCCUGCAGAUCAGGCAGGUGUCAAUGCAAGCUCAUGCCAGCCACACACACUGCCAGAAGGAGCAAUAGCACGAUGCGAUCAAUAGGAUGAUGUGACCUAUAGCACGUUCCUACUCCUGCUGAAGCCGGUGGAAAGAUUUCUGUUGCUGACAGCAGGUGUCAGACUGACAUUCAAGUCACACCAUGGAGUCAUCCUGUUGCAGAGCAGCAUUGUGUUGUGACAAACUCGAUAGGGAAAAAUGCACAUCCUCCAUCUAUCAUGAGCUCAGCAAAGGAAAUGACACACGU